CCCUUAGAUGUUCUGGGCCGCACGCGUGCUACACUGAGUGGAUCAGCGGGUCAGGUUGCGCGAAAGUGUUUCCUAAUCUUGAAAUCCGCUCGUGAUGGGGAUUGACGGUUGCAAUUUUCCGUCAUGAACGAGGAAUACCUUGUAAGCGCGGGUCAUCAUCCCGCGCUGAAUACGUCCCUGCCCUUUGUACACACCGCCCGUCGCUCCUACCGAUUGAGUGGUCCGGUGAGGCUUUGGGAUCUGAGCGGAAAGAGCGUUUCGCUGUUUCUGCUCGGAAAACUCAGUCGGGCCUUAUCAUUUAGAGGAAGGAGAAGUCGUAACA
This 322-nucleotide ribosomal RNA is filed under the name uncultured eukaryote. RNAcentral's name for it is "partial 18S ribosomal RNA". It matches the Rfam family "Eukaryotic small subunit ribosomal RNA", at positions 1470 to 1796 of the family's 1831-position model. The record is from RNAcentral.